GACGAACGCUGGCGGCGUGCUUAACACAUGCAAGUCGAACGGAAAGGCCUCUUUCGGGGGGUACUCGAGUGGCGAACGGGUGAGUAACACGUGAGUAACCUGCCCUUGACUUUGGGAUAACUUUAGGAAACUGGGGCUAAUACCGGAUAGGAGCUCCUGCUGCAUGGUGGGGGUUGGAAAGUUUCGGCGGUUGGGGAUGGACUCGCGGCUUAUCAGCUUGUUGGUGGGGUAGUGGCUUACCAAGGCUUUGACGGGUAGCCGGCCUGAGAGGGUGACCGGCCACAUUGGGACUGGGAUACGGGCCAGACUCCUACGGGGGGCAGCAAGGGGGAAUAUUGCACAAUGGGUGGAAGCCUGAUGCAGCAACGCCGGGGGCGGGAUGACGGCCUUCGGGUUGUAAACCGCUUUCGCUCAUGACGAAGCUUUGUGUGACGGUAGUGGGUAAAGAAGCACCGGCUAACUACGUG
RNAcentral lists this ribosomal RNA (467 nucleotides) under uncultured bacterium. RNAcentral's name for it is "partial 16S ribosomal RNA". It matches the Rfam family "Bacterial small subunit ribosomal RNA", at positions 28 to 507 of the family's 1533-position model. The record is from RNAcentral.